CGAUAUCGACGUAGUUUGAUCCUGGCUCAGAAUCAACGCUGGCGGCGUGCCUCAGACAUGCAAGUCGAACGAUUAAAGCUCUCUUCGGAGAGUGUAUAGAGUGGCGCACGGGUGAGUAACACGUAAGUAAUCUACCCUCGAGUGGGGAAUAACAACCGGAAACGGUUGCUAAUACCGCAUAAUGCAGCGGCACCGCAAGGUGACAGUUGUUAAAGAUUUAUCGCUUGAGGAGGAGCUUGCGGCAGAUUAGCUAGUUGGUAGGGUAACGGCUUACCAAGGCUACGAUCUGUAACCGGUCUAAGAGGACGGUCGGUCACACUGACACUGAAUAACGGGUCAGACUCCUACGGGAGGCAGCAGUCGGGAAUUUUGGGCAAUGGGCGAAAGCCUGACCCAGCAACGCCGCGUGAAGGAUGAAGUAUUUCGGUAUGUAAACUUCGAAAGAAUAGGAAGAAUUAAUGACGGUACUAUUUAUAAGGUCCGGCUAACUACGUG
This 495-nucleotide ribosomal RNA is filed under the name uncultured bacterium. RNAcentral describes it as "bacterial SSU rRNA". It matches the Rfam family "Bacterial small subunit ribosomal RNA", at positions 1 to 507 of the family's 1533-position model. The record is from RNAcentral.